AUUGAACGCUGGCGGAAUGCUUUACACAUGCAAGUCGAACGGCAGCACGGGUGCUUGCACCUGGUGGCGAGUGGCGAACGGGUGAGUAAUACAUCGGAACGUACCCAGUUGUGGGGGAUAACGAGUCGAAAGAUUCGCUAAUACCGGAUACGAACUGAGGGUGAAAGAGGGGGACCGUAAGGCCUAGCGCAAUGGGAGCGGCCGGUGUUUGAUUAGCUAGUUGGUGAGGUAAAGGCUCACCAAGGCGACGAUAAGUAGCUGGUCUGAGAGGAUGAUCAGCCACACUGGGACUGAGACACGGUCCAGACUCCUACGGGAGGCAGCAGUGGGGAAUUUUGGACAAUGGGGGAAACCCUGAUCCAGCCAUUCCGCGUGAGUGAAGAAGGCCUUCGGGUUGUAAAGCUCUUUCGUCAGGGAAGAUACGCUCUGGCUUAAUACGCCGGGGUAAUGACGGUACCUGAAGAAGAAGCACCGGCUAACUACGUGCCAGCCGCCGCAGUAA
This 502-nucleotide ribosomal RNA is filed under the name uncultured bacterium. RNAcentral describes it as "partial 16S ribosomal RNA". It matches the Rfam family "Bacterial small subunit ribosomal RNA", at positions 30 to 523 of the family's 1533-position model. The record is from RNAcentral.